RNAcentral lists this ribosomal RNA (745 nucleotides) under uncultured Bacillus sp. RNAcentral describes it as "bacterial SSU rRNA". It matches the Rfam family "Bacterial small subunit ribosomal RNA", at positions 49 to 778 of the family's 1533-position model. The record is from RNAcentral. Lineage: Bacteria; Bacillati; Bacillota; Bacilli; Caryophanales; Bacillaceae.
CUAUACAUGCAGUCGAGCGGACAGAAGGGAGCUUGCUCCCGGAUGUUAGCGGCGGACGGGUGAGUAACACGUGGGUAACCUGCCUGUAAGACUGGGAUAACUCCGGGAAACCGGAGCUAAUACCGGAUAGUUCCUUGAACCGCAUGGUUCAAGGAUGAAAGACGGUUUCGGCUGUCACUUACAGAUGGACCCGCGGCGCAUUAGCUAGUUGGUGAGGUAACGGCUCACCAAGGCGACGAUGCGUAGCCGACCUGAGAGGGUGAUCGGCCACACUGGGACUGAGACACGGCCCAGACUCCUACGGGAGGCAGCAGUAGGGAAUCUUCCGCAAUGGACGAAAGUCUGACGGAGCAACGCCGCGUGAGUGAUGAAGGUUUUCGGAUCGUAAAGCUCUGUUGUUAGGGAAGAACAAGUGCAAGAGUAACUGCUUGCACCUUGACGGUACCUAACCAGAAAGCCACGGCUAACUACGUGCCAGCAGCCGCGGUAAUACGUAGGUGGCAAGCGUUGUCCGGAAUUAUUGGGCGUAAAGGGCUCGCAGGCGGUUUCUUAAGUCUGAUGUGAAAGCCCCCGGCUCAACCGGGGAGGGUCAUUGGAAACUGGGAAACUUGAGUGCAGAAGAGGAGAGUGGAAUUCCACGUGUAGCGGUGAAAUGCGUAGAGAUGUGGAGGAACACCAGUGGCGAAGGCGACUCUCUGGUCUGUAACUGACGCUGAGGAGCGAAAGCGUGGGGAGCGAACAGGAU